GCCUAUCAGCCAAAGAAGGAGGGGAAGAGAGAUAAGGCUCAAGGGGAAAAAGCUGAAAAAGCUGCGCAGAACGAUAGACCCCUCCCCCUCUGGUUCUUUUUCUUCUUCUUCUUCUUCUUCUUCUUCUUAUUCUUAUUCUUCUUCUUCUUCAGUGUUUCAGCACAAGACACAGACCAAAAAAUGCCUAAGAUCUCUCCCUGAAGAACGAUCAGCAUCGUUCAGUAUCCGAAACGACAUCCCCUUUCGUUCGUCUUCUGCAACAGAGACGGAGUCGCUCCCAUUCAUCUCCUAGAGGCCCCUGUUUCUUCACCUUCAUUCGAGUUCCACAGAAGAAGCUCCAGCAACAACUACCAAGAAGCAGGCCCCCAUAACCGUUACCCCAUCUCCUUCACAAAAUCAAAACAGAAACGGAGUUGCACCUAGGAGAUCCGAGUUUGAGUUCGAGGUUUUUCCGGGUUCUGCGCUCGUUCGUGGUUUGAUUCGCAUUUAACAUUGAAUCUUUGAGCUGUUCUUUGCUAUUGUUUCGAAUUUUCUGGUCAAGCUU
Molecule: long non-coding RNA, 544 nt
Filed under: Nicotiana tabacum (common tobacco)
Lineage: Eukaryota; Viridiplantae; Streptophyta; Magnoliopsida; Solanales; Solanaceae
Description: long non-coding RNA (NTAB_LNC015123)
Source: RNAcentral